RNAcentral lists this ribosomal RNA (497 nucleotides) under uncultured bacterium. RNAcentral's name for it is "partial 16S ribosomal RNA". It matches the Rfam family "Bacterial small subunit ribosomal RNA", at positions 28 to 507 of the family's 1533-position model. The record is from RNAcentral.
GAUGAACGCUGGCGGCGUGCCUAAUACAUGCAAGUCGAGCGAACAGAUGAGGAGCUUGCUCCUCUGACGUUAGCGGCGGACGGGUGAGUAACACGUGGAUAACCUACCUAUAAGACUGGGAUAACUUCGGGAAACCGGAGCUAAUACCGGAUAAUAUAUUGAACCGUAUGGUUCAAUAGUGAAAGACGGUUUUGCUGUCACGUAUAGAUGGAUCCGCGCCGCAUUAGCUAGUUGGUAAGGUAACGGCUUACCAAGGCAACGAUGCGUAGCCGACCUGAGAGAGUGAUCGGCCACACUGGAACUGAGACACGGUCCAGACUCCUACGGGAGGCAGCAGUAGGGAAUCUUCCGCAGUGGGCGAAAGCCUGACGAAGCAACGCCGCGUGAGAGAUGAAGGUCUUCGGAUCGUAAAACUCUGUUAUUGGGGAAGAACAAAUGUAGAAGUAACUAUGCACGUCUUGACGGUACCUAAUCAGAAAGCAACGGCUAACUACGUG